AGAUAUUAAGAUGUAUAUUACACUGAUACAGAUAGUGUGUGUAUCUCACACCAACAAUCUUGGGUUCACCCUUAAUAAAGCGGUGUAAAGGCUUGCUGCCUCCCACUGUGGUGCUUUGCACAGUUGCACUGUUCCCAUCUGGUCCACUGGCGGAGUACAGGACAGCGGCCAUCUGUCAGACACAAGUUACACUUGUUGUCGGUGCCGCAGUAGAUGAUUCACAUCUGAAAUGACAGCAGCAUAAGAUUUUUGG
This is a long non-coding RNA of Thalassophryne amazonica, 253 nucleotides long. RefSeq lists it as uncharacterized. The record is from RefSeq and is a predicted model, not a curated record. The transcript is spliced from 3 exons. Lineage: Eukaryota; Metazoa; Chordata; Actinopteri; Batrachoidiformes; Batrachoididae.